UACAGAGGUCCCAAGCGUUGUUCGGAUUCAUUGGGCGUAAAGGGUGCGUAGGCGGCGCGGUAAGUCGGGUGUGAAAUCUCGGAGCUUAACUCCGAAACUGCAUUCGAUACUGCCGUGCUUGAGGACUGGAGAGGAGACUGGAAUUUACGGUGUAGCGGUGAAAUGCGUAGAUAUCGUAAGGAAGACCAGUGGCGAAGGCGGGGUCUCUGGGCCGAUAUCGACGCUGAGGAGCGAAAAGCGUGGGGAGCGAACAGG
RNAcentral lists this ribosomal RNA (255 nucleotides) under uncultured bacterium. RNAcentral's name for it is "partial 16S ribosomal RNA". It matches the Rfam family "Bacterial small subunit ribosomal RNA", at positions 524 to 776 of the family's 1533-position model. The record is from RNAcentral.